This 503-nucleotide ribosomal RNA is filed under the name uncultured bacterium. Its description in RNAcentral is "bacterial SSU rRNA". It matches the Rfam family "Bacterial small subunit ribosomal RNA", at positions 10 to 507 of the family's 1533-position model. The record is from RNAcentral.
AGUUUGAUCAUGGCUCAGAUUGAACGCUGGCGGCAUGCCUUACACAUGCAAGUCGGAACGGUAACGGGCCUUCGGGUGCCGACGAGUGGCGAACGGGUGAGUAAUGCAUCGGAACGUACCUUCAGUGGGGGAUAACGUAGCGAAAGUUACGCUAAUACCGCAUAUUCUGUGAGCAGGAAAGCAGGGGAUCGCAAGACCUUGCGCUGAUUGAGCGGCCGAUGUCAGAUUAGCUAGUUGGUGAGGUAAAGGCUCACCAAGGCGACGAUCUGUAGCGGGGUCUGAGAGGAUGAUCCGCCACACUGGAACUGAGACAUGGUCCAGACUCCUACGGGAGGCAGCAGUGGGGAAUUUUGGACAAUGGGGGCAACCCUGAUCCAGCCAUGCCGCGUGAGUGAAGAAGGCCUUCGGGGUUGUAAAGCUCUUUCGGCCGGGAAGAAAUCGCCAUGGGUUAAUACCCUGUGCGGAUGACGGUACCGGCAUAAGAAGCACCGGCUAACUACGUG